RNAcentral lists this ribosomal RNA (406 nucleotides) under uncultured bacterium. RNAcentral's name for it is "bacterial SSU rRNA". It matches the Rfam family "Bacterial small subunit ribosomal RNA", at positions 354 to 777 of the family's 1533-position model. The record is from RNAcentral.
GUGGGGAAUAUUGCACAAUGGGGGAAACCCUGAUGCAGCGACGCCGCGUGAGUGACGAAGUAUUUCGGUACGUAAAGCUCUAUCAGCAAGGAAGAAAAUGACGGUACUUGACUAAGAAGCCCCGGCUAACUACGUGCCAGCAGCCGCGGUAAUACGUAGGGGGCAAGCGUUAUCCGGAUUUACUGGGUGUAAAGGGAGCGUAGACGGCAGCGCAAGUCUGGAGUGAAAUCCCAGGGCUCAACCCUGGAACUGCUUUGGAAACUGUGCAGCUAGAGUGCAGGAGAGGUAAGCGGAAUUCCUAGUGUAGCGGUGAAAUGCGUAGAUAUUAGGAGGAACACCAGUGGCGAAGGCGGCUUACUGGACUGUAACUGACGUUGAGGCUCGAAAGCGUGGGGAGCAAACAGGA